RNAcentral lists this long non-coding RNA (33966 nucleotides) under Solanum tuberosum (potato). RNAcentral's name for it is "long non-coding RNA (STUB_LNC009585)". The record is from RNAcentral. Lineage: Eukaryota; Viridiplantae; Streptophyta; Magnoliopsida; Solanales; Solanaceae.
CUAAUUCGAUUUUUUUCAAUUGCUGGAUCGCCAAAACAUGACUUCUAUGCUGCUGAUUUUGGAUGGGGAAGGGCCGUGAAGUUAGAAUUCAUUUCUCUUGACAAUGAUGAUGGUGGAAUUUCGAUGUCUCUUAGUAAAUCUAAGGACUUUGAUGGAGAUUUAGAGAUUGGUUUGUCUUUGUCUAAAACUCAAAUGAAUGCUUUUGCUGCUAUAUUCACUCACGGACUUAACUUUCUAUACCAAGUCUGAGUGUUCGAGGAUUUGGGAAGGACCCCUACCAACAAAAAUAGACAUAAAGACUAUCCUCUAGUUUUGUCAUAGAUGAAAUACUUCAAAUUGUAGUUGUAAUACUACUCCAAAUAAGAAUCCCUUUUCAAAUCGUUAUUGGUGCAUCUUGAUCAUCAUGUCAUCCAUGACUUUAUUAUUCAAUUGGUUUAUGUUAGUUCUUUAUGAUAUAUUAUCGAGGAUAUGACCUUGGAUAAGAAGAUGUGGAGUUCAUAUAAGGGUAGAAGGUUAUUACAGUAUGGGUGAACAAGAACUCAAUUAGUUCAAAUUUUUUAAAUAUCAAAUCAAAUCAUUUGUAUCAAAUUUUUAAAGUCCCUUUCUAUCGACUGUGGUAAUGAAUCCCUCAAUAAGUCUAGAAAUUCAGAUGGAGAUUUAGAAAUUAGCUUGUGUUUGCCUGAAAAGUGAAUGAAUGCUUGGUAUUUUGUAGCAAGUAAAGUUGAGCAUUCGAUUUCUCGGUUCAAUUUUACAUUUUUCAAUUCGAACCAAAAUAAGUUUGAUUUGAUUUUUCUCCUUGCGGUUCAUGAAUUUAGUUAUUCAACAUGUCAUUAUAAUGUAGUCGAAUAUAUAGUUAUAUUUGAAUAGGAAAAAGAACAAAUAUUAUUAAAUAAUAAUAUCAAAUCUCUUAAAUAUAUUUUUUAAUAGAAAGCAUGCCUAAAACUAUAAAAGUGGUGUUUCAAAGGUUAUCAAUACAUGUUCAUACCUCAAAGAUUGAGAAUGGGUCGUUUUAUACUCUACUAAAAAUAGGCCAGUUAGUGAGAAAUAUUUUAAGUGGUAAAAAUAUUCAUAACUCAAAAUAAUUUGAUUUUUCCGGUUUUAUUGUUCUAAAUCUAAAACAAAAUUAAAAAAAUUAAAAAAUUAAACUUCUCAAUCCGAAACUAGAUCAAAAUAUAAAGGGUUAAGACGCCCUAAAUUAUGUCUGAAAUUUCAGAGACUCACUUAAACUUAAACUUAACCCCCUAAAUUAACUUAAAAUGAAAUAAAUAUACCAUAAAUGUUGACGUGACAUAGAGAGUGUGCACACUCUUUUGAAGACAACUGAUGAAUGAAUAAAUUGGACACAUGUCAUUUUUAAUUGGUAACUUUAUAAUUAGUUAGUACACAUAUUUAUUGAUAUUAAAAUUUAUAUAUAUUUAAGGAAAAAUGGUAAAAAUUGCCCUUAAGCUAUGCGAAAGAACAAAAAUGUCACCCGUUUGUAGUUUGGUCCAAAAAUGUCAUUGUCGUCAAUACUUUGAUGCAAAAAUGUCCUUAUUGUUAUUUAAUGGGUUAACAAUGUUCAUUUUCCAAAUAAAUAUAUUAUUUAUUUUCUUUUUAACGCAUUCUUUUUCUAAUAAUGUUUUCUUUUAAAUUAGCAAAUGUUUAUCUUACUUCAAUUUGAAAAAAAAUAAAAAAUGAAAAUAUUUCUUAUUUUAUUAUAAUUAUUUUUUAUCGAUAUAUAAAUAUAAAUUAAUGAUAGAUAUACUAUGAUCUUAUAUAUAUGAUAAACAUUAUCUGCCGAAAGGGUACAUGCAGUUAUUCUAUUUUAAUUGAUAAAAUGAGAUUAAGAAGAAAAAAAUAUCUCCAACAUUUUUAUUGGUUAAAGUGAUUUAAAAGAAAGAAAACAAGAACAAUGUUCUUUAAUGAUAUUUAAUUAGGAAGAAGAUGUGUUCAAAAAGAAAAAAUAAUAUGUUUAUUCGGAAAAGGACAAUUUUGACCAUUUAGUAACUAUAGGAGCAUUUCUGGACCAAAGUAUUGAUUGCAAGGACAUUUUUGAAUCAAAGUAUUGACGACAAACAUAUUUUUUAGCCAAACUACAAACGGAUGAUAUUUUUGUUCUUUUCACAUAGUUUAUGGGCAUUUUGACUUUUUUCCCUAUAUUUAGUUAUUUUCAUUUUUUUUCUUUGUAAAAUAUUUAUUUUAACUUCUUUUUCACUUUAAACUUUUUUUUUCUUUCAUUAAUUUCUUUUGUUUUCACAUUUUAUUAUUUUAAAAAAAUAUGUGUAAUUUUUUUUAAAUACAAGAUAAAGAAAUAAGAAUAUUUUUUUAAAAGAGUAAAUAAAAUCAAAAAAAAAUGAAGGAUGAAGAAUGGGUCCUUAAUGGUAAUUGGUUAAAAGCGUUGGACAACACUACAACAAAUUAGAUUAUGAGGGACAAAUAAUUUCGUCAUCUAUAAAUUAUGUUUCGUCACUAAAAAUUUUGUGUGACGAAAAUUUUUUCGUCAAUCAGUCGUCACUAAACGUGUGUCACUAAAAGUAUACAAAGACGAUUUAGUGCUUUGUCGCUAAAACUAAUAUAUUAACUACAAAAAGCAAAAGCGUCCUCAAAUUCAUAAACAUUUGUGACGAAUUUAUUUGUCAUAAAAAGUGUAACUUUUUUUGUAGUUAAUAGUAUGUUUUGUCACUAAAAAGGUUAUUACUACCAACAAAACUACAUCGUUGCUAAUUAUUUAGUUCAAUCAGGGAUGACAUCAAUUGUCUCUAAAGUUAUAUGUAUUUUGUAGUUGAAAAAAUAUAAUAUCAUCACUAAAGACUAUUUUUUAUAUACAAAAAAAUAUUUUGUCCUUAAAUGUAUAAAUUAGGGACAAAUUUAUUAUUAUAAAAAAAGGUUAAUAAUUUUGUGAUUAAAUCUAUCAUUUUGUCACUAAAAGUGUUGCUUUUACCGACGACAUAUAUUGUCACUAAAUAUNNNNNNNNNNNNNNNNNNNNNNNNNNNNNNNNNNNNNNNNNNNNNNNNNNNNNNNNNNNNNNNNNNNNNNNNNNNNNNNNNNNNNNNNNNNNNNNNNNNNNNNNNNNNNNNNNNNNNNNNNNNNNNNNNNNNNNNNNNNNNNNNNNNNNNNNNNNNNNNNNNNNNNNNNNNNNNNNNNNNNNNNNNNNNNNNNNNNNNNNNNNNNNNNNNNNNNNNNNNNNNNNNNNNNNNNNNNNNNNNNNNNNNNNNNNNNNNNNNNNNNNNNNNNNNNNNNNNNNNNNNNNNNNNNNNNNNNNNNNNNNNNNNNNNNNNNNNNNNNNNNNNNNNNNNNNNNNNNNNNNNNNNNNNNNNNNNNNNNNNNNNNNNNNNNNNNNNNNNNNNNNNNNNNNNNNNNNNNNNNNNNNNNNNNNNNNNNNNNNNNNNNNNNNNNNNNNNNNNNNNNNNNNNNNNNNNNNNNNNNNNNNNNNNNNNNNNNNNNNNNNNNNNNNNNNNNNNNNNNNNNNNNNNNNNNNNNNNNNNNNNNNNNNNNNNNNNNNNNNNNNNNNNNNNNNNNNNNNNNNNNNNNNNNNNNNNNNNNNNNNNNNNNNNNNNNNNNNNNNNNNNNNNNAAAAAUAAAAAAGAAGACUAAGUUGUGAUUAGGCCUUAUAUGGUAUAGUCUCCGGUCAAUUACUGAACCACAGAGUGUGAAAAAUGAUAAUAAAACAUAGCCAAUAAAAGUUAGAUCUACAUAUUCAUUAAAGAUCAACUAGUGAUUAUGUGAAUAUAGGGUUAAAGAAUAUGAAAUACAAAGAAAAGACCUUUCUUGUUGAUUUCUUUUCAAUUUUUCUUUUCAUUUCUCUCUAUAUGUUUUGUUUUAAAGUUGAACGUGGGAGAUGAGAAAGGAAAAGAAGAUGUAGAAGAUAAAGAAGGAAAAAAAGAAGAUUUUUUUUCUCUUUUCUGUAUUAGUGUGAUUGAGCCACCUGAAAAGAAAGUUUUUUUUUUAUGUUUCCUAUUUUGAUUCUUUUAAUUGUUUUCCUUUUUAAAAUUAAUUAAUUGUCUUGAAAGAUAAAAAAAAAAAAGAACCAUCAAAAUCAAUGACUGAAAACCAGCAAUGCAAAUUGUCAUGGGGUCCACCUUAUAAGAUACUAGAAAAAAAUAUAAAAAUAAAUACACUUCCACUAUUUAUUGAUAAUUGAUACUCUAUUGUUAAAGUAAAAUUAAGCAAGUGUAAGACCUAUAAUGUAGCAAUACUUUUCAUUUCAAAUUGAUAGUCUUACUUUUAAAAAAAUAUUUCUCACUUUUUAGCAACCUUUUAACUUUUUAAAGUCACAAAAAUUAAAGAUUUAUCUAUAUAUCUUAUCGAAAUGAGAAUCAAAUAUACGUAAUUUAUAAAGCUUCAAAUAUGAAAUAACCGGGUCUUUUUUAGUGUUUUUCAUAUAAAGAAAUAUUUUCAAAAAUUUUAAGUUAGGGGAAACUUUCUAACUCUUAGGCAUAUUUUGUGAAAAAUACAGUUUAAAAAAUAUAGAAUCUAAAUCAUUCAAGAAUGUGUGUAACUUUUUUUAAAACUGAAAUUGUUAUGAGAUUUUUGAAUUAUAAUAGAUUUUUCUAUUUAGUUAUUUCUUGAUUAUUUAAAAUUUAAUUUUAUUCUACUAAUAUCAAAAUAAGAUAGUAGAGAUAUUGGUUUGGGUGGGCGUGGGGAAAGGUUUGGGCAAGGGCGUGUGUGGUUUUGCCCCCCUUUUUUUUUUUUUUUCUUUUCUUCUUCUUUUAUACUUUUUAUUUUUUAACAAAAUUAAUAUAAUGAAAAAAUUAUGUUUUGAUUCAAUAAGAACAUAAAAUAAAAAUAAAUUAAAUAAUAUUUCUUCCCAUACAAAUUUUACACAUGUUACAUUAGUAUAAACAUGUUAGGAAUUAUGGACACCUAAAANNNNNNNNNNNNNNNNNNNNNNNNNNNNNNNNNNNNNNNNNNNNNNNNNNNNNNNNNNNNNNNNNNNNNNNNNNNNNNNNNNNNNNNNNNNNNNNNNNNNNNNNNNNNNNNNNNNNNNNNNNNNNNNNNNNNNNNNNNNNNNNNNNNNNNNNNNNNNNNNNNNNNNNNNNNNNNGGGUGGUUGGUCCCCCCCCCCCCCCUUUUUUUCCUUUCUCUUCUUCUUUUAUUCUUUUUGUUUUUAAAAAAAAUUAAUAUAAUUAAAAAAUAUUGUUUUGAUUCAAUAAGAACACAAAAUAAAAAUAAAUUAAAAUAAUAUUUCUUCCCAUACAAGUUUUACACAUGUUAUAUUAGUAUAAACAUGUUAGGAAUUAUGGACACCUAAAAUCUUUUAUUUUUCUUUAUUUUAGUCAUUAAAAUGAAAAGAAAAACCUACUAAUUAAAAUUAAUAUCUUACAUUAUAAAUAUUUGUUAUUAGUUAUUCUCAUCAUUUCAAUUUGUUAAGCCAUAAAUACAUGUAUCAUCGUAAGAGAAUCAAAAUAUAAAAGCAAGAAUAAACGUAGACUGAAAUAAAUCAUGGGUUGUUUAAACCUGAAAUAAAAUAAGGUUUGUUAUAACUAUUUUGCACCAAGUCUAAUGAUAUAAAAUAUCUAAACAUAAAGUUGAUAUGAAAGAUUUGAACAUUCUUCAUAUUAUAACAUCAACGAAUAUUAAUGGUUUAAACAGAUAUAAAAUUUAACAAUUUCAAUAUAUUGCAACCAAUGCUUGUAUAAUUAUGACAUUAAACUAUAUAAAAAGGAUUAAGUGUUACCUCUUGUGAAAAUUAAUUCACAAAAAAAAGACCACAACUGGAACCACAAAUUAGAAAACACGAAUAAAAAUCCCGAACUCAACUUUUCUUUUGUCGCUGAAUGAUUUUUUUUUUGUUAGUAUUGCUGGAAGAAAAGUGUGUUUGGUGUAUGUUUUGGAAUUUGGGUGUGUGAGUUUCUGUAUGUUUUUUUGAUUGUUUUUAUUUUUAUUUUUUAUGUUUCUAUAAUUGUCUUUUGUGUAUGUGUCGUGUGUGUGUAGUGUGAGGGGUAAUGGGAGAAGUGGGGUGAGUUGUGGGUGAGUGGGGUAGUGUAGGAUAGUAUUAGCUUUUUUUAUUUUAUAUUUUUUUAUUAAUAUAAUAUAAUAUAAAAUAAUAUAUUAUAAUAUAAUAUAAUAUAGUAACAGUGGGUCCCAUAUGUUCCCUUAACAGUGUAUCUACUAUUGAUGAAUAAUGUUUCUACUGUUGGUGUCGGGUUAUGACGACUCUACUGUAGAUGCGGCUUCACUGUUUGUCUUUUUCUUUUAAUUUGUGGAGGAAAUCUUCCGCUUUUUUCAAAGUAUCUUCUGAUAUAGUCCGGACGAUCCCUGGGAUGAUAUUCCCCUUGUAUUAUUACUUUUACCUCUGCCCUUGGUAAUCCAAGGAGGGUCCAUCCUGCACACAUAACAUUUUGCUUUAUUCGGAUAUAUCAUAAUAAUCACUAUAAUAAUUAUCACUAUCGAUAUCCUUGGGGCUAUCCUAUUCAUAAUCAUAUAAUAGAGAAAUCUUUUCUAAUAAUAUCAUUAAUAAUUUUACAUAUUAUAAAUUCCUGCAAGUGUCCACUGUGGCAUAUGGUCCUGUAUAUUUUAAUACUCAGCCUUAAUUUGCAAUUAUCUUUAACUGAUGUUAAUAUUCUUGAUGCUUUAACAUUAAAUGUUAAAACGCAUGGUUAUAAUUAUGCAGCUGGAUCUGAAUUAAUAUGUUUAUCAUAUAGAAUUUAUUUUAAAUUUCUAUCUACGUGAUAGGCCCCCUGCUAGGAUAAAAAGGAUAGAUCCUUCCAUACAAUCAUAAAACUAUAUAAAUUUGUAUAUCUUUCGAUUCGGAUUUAUAAUAUAAUAUAAUAUAAUAUAAUGAUAAGAAUAUUAUUUAAAUAUUUUUAAACUAACAAGAAUUAAGUAUCUAAUAAUAAAUUAUAAUUAAGAAAUGCUAGUUUAUUUAUUAAAACUUAAAUAAAAAGAAACAUUUUUUUAUAAAUUUCUUUUCUUUAAAAUUAAUCUACAUUAAAAUGUGACUCUAUUUUUUUGUCAUUUUUCAAAUAUUUUAAAAUAAAUUUACUAAAGUAAGAUACAUCCAUACAUAUUUAAUUUAANNNNNNNNNNNNNNNNNNNNNNNNNNNNNNNNNNNNNNNNNNNNNNNNNNNNNNNNNNNNNNNNNNNNNNNNNNNNNNNNNNNNNNNNNNNNNNNNNNNNNNNNNNNNNNNNNNNNNNNNNNNNNNNNNNNNNNNNNNNNNNNNNNNNNNNNNNNNNNNNNNNNNNNNNNNNNNNNNNNNNNNNNNNNNNNNNNNNNNNNNNNNNNNNNNNNNNNNNNNNNNNNNNNNNNNNNNNNNNNNNNNNNNNNNNNNNNNNNNNNNNNNNNNNNNNNNNNNNNNNNNNNNNNNNNNNNNNNNNNNNNNNNNNNNNNNNNNNNNNNNNNNNNNNNNNNNNNNNNNNNNNNNNNNNNNNNNNNNNNNNNNNNNNNNNNNNNNNNNNNNNNNNNNNNNNNNNNNNNNNNNNNNNNNNNNNNNNNNNNNNNNNNNNNNNNNNNNNNNNNNNNNNNNNNNNNNNNNNNNNNNNNNNNNNNNNNCGGAUUUCAAUGAACAUCUUUCUUAUCCCAUAACUAUAUGCCCACAUAGGUUAUUAGCUAGUGGAUCCACCUAAGUUAAAUGUUACCGCAUAGGUUUUUGUCAUUUUCAAAUAUUUUAAAAUAAAUUUACUAAAGUAAGAUACAUCCAUACAUAUUUAAUUUAAUUUUAAAAAAAUAUUUAAGUACCUAAAAUUAUAUAAAAUUUUAAUUUCGAUCAAAAUUUACAUGUCUACAUCUUUGACAAAAGAUAAAUGUAAUAUUAAUUAUAAAUAAUAAUAAUAAUAAUAAUAAUAAUAAUAAUAAUAAUAAUAAUAAUAAUAAUAAUAAUAAUAAUAAUAAUAAUAAUAAUAAUAAUAAUAAUAAUAAUAAUAAUAAUAAUAAUAAUAAUAAUAAUAAUAAUAAUAAUAAUAAUAAUAAUAAUAAUAAUAAUAAUAAUAAUAAUAAUAAUAAUAAUAAUAAUAAUAAUAAUAAUAAUAAUAAUAAUAAUAAUAAUAAUAAUAAUAAUAAUAAUAAUAAUAAUAAUAAUAAUAAUAAUAAUAAUAAUAAUAAUAAUAAUAAUAAUAAUAAUAAUAAUAAUAAUAAUAAUAAUAAUAAUAAUAAUAAUAAUAAUAAUAAUAAUAAUAAUAAUAAUAAUAAUAAUAAUAAUAAUAAUAAUAAUAAUAAUAAUAAUAAUAAUAAUAAUAAUAAUAAUAAUAAUAAUAAUAAUAAUAAUAAUAAUAAUAAUAAUAAUAAUAAUAAUAAUAAUAAUAAUAAUAAUAAUAAUAAUAAUAAUAAUAAUAAUAAUAAUAAUAAUAAUAAUAAUAAUAAUAAUAAUAAUAAUAAUAAUAAUAAUAAUAAUAAUAAUAAUAAUAAUAAUAAUAAUAAUAAUAAUAAUAAUAAUAAUAAUAAUAAUAAUAAUAAUAAUAAUAAUAAUAAUAAUAAUAAUAAUAAUAAUAAUAAUAAUAAUAAUAAUAAUAAUAAUAAUAAUAAUAAUAAUAAUAAUAAUAAUAAUAAUAAUAAUAAUAAUAAUAAUAAUAAUAAUAAUAAUAAUAAUAAUAAUAAUAAUAAUAAUAAUAAUAAUAAUAAUAAUAAUAAUAAUAAUAAUAAUAAUAAUAAUAAUAAUAAUAAUAAUAAUAAUAAUAAUAAUAAUAAUAAUAAUAAUAAUAAUAAUAAUGAAUGUUCAUAUUAUUAGUGACGAAAAUAAAUGUCACAAUUAAAUCUAAAUUUUUAUAGCUAAAGCUUAUAAUAAUUAACUACAAACUUUUAUUUGUCACUAUUGUAAUAACAUAUUUUUUGAGACAAAAUUAUUUUGUGUCCAAAAAUAAAUUAAUUUUAAGACAAAUAAAAUUUGUUACGAAUUAGAUACAUCAUUUGUGACAAAAUAAUGUGUCACUGAUAACUUUAAAUUCGUGACUGACAGUACUCAAUAAAUGACAUCAAUUCAUUUUUUGGUGGGAAAUUUUAGUGGACAAAACUUUGCCACAAACUUUUAUGUUUCGUAACUAAAAGUAUAUGUCUCAUAUAUUUAAGCACAAAAAGUAAUUUUUGUCACGAAAAGUAAAUAAUUAGCGACGAAUUUUAUGUCGUAGCUAACAAUUUCGUAGCUAUAUAUCAUAUUUGUUGUAGUGAACGUAGACCUAAUUCAAUUUUUUUGAAUUGCUGGAUAGCAAAAACUUGACUUAUAUGCUGCUGAUUUCGGAUGGGGAAGGGCCGCGAAGUUAUAAUUCAUUUCUCUUGACAAUGAUGAUGGUGGAAUUUCGAUGUCUCUUAGUAAAUCUAAGGACUUUGAUGGAGAUUUAGAGAUUGGCUUGUCUUUGUCUAAAACUCGAAUGAAUGCUUUUGCUACUAUAUUCACUCACAGGAUUAGCUUUUUAUACCAAGUCUGAGUGUUCGAGGAUUUGGCAAGGAUUCCUACAUGUAUCUUGGCUUUCUUAUUCAAUUGCUUGAUAUUAGUUCUUUGUACAUCCGAAUAAGCUUUUUUGUUUUGUUUAUGCAUUUUGCACCUUUAAGAGUAUAAUGUUUCUUCUAAAAGAAAAUGUACUACUAUAUAUUAUACUUCUCUUUUGACAACCUUCUUAAGGUUUAAUUUAAUGAUAGGAAAAUACAUAAAGUCUCCUCAAAUUAGUCCUCUUAUUUUAAAGAGACACUUAAACUCUGCAAAAAUCUUAUAAUACAUUCUACUUCAUACCACCUAGCUUGAAGGAGGGCAUUGACGAAUAAAAAGUUAAUUCAACACAAAUGAUGAACGUGGUUGGUAAUAUAAAUUUAUUAUUUGAAUUUUGAAAAUAUAAUACAAAACUAGAAAAGAACAUAGGGUAGCACGUGUUAAAGAUGUAACACAUAUACAGCUUAUUUAUUUACUUUUAAUGUUCACUUAUUGUGGUGAAACCAAAAUGAUCAAAUUCCAUUCCUACUUGCUACGUUUAGGAGUUUUUAUAUAUUUUUUUAAAUAUAAAAAGGUUUAAUUGUUCAAACUUUAAUUAAUUUUAAGAUUCUAAUUAUGAUUGGAGAAAUAACAAAAAAAUAUAAUUUUAUCUAAUGUGAAAUCCUUUUAUAAAUGAUUAAAAAAGGAUGAUCAUUUCAUUUAUGGUAAUUACAUUUGGGUAUGUAAUUACCCAAAUCCUUUUAUACCAUAUAUAUAUAUAGGGAGAAAGAAAUUUUGAAUCCGUUGAACACAAGACUAGAGAUUGACUCAGUGAUUUAGGAUUUCAAAAUUUCCAAAUUCAAACCCUAGACAUUCUUGAAUUCCUUUAAUGAAAAUUCUAAAUUUGGCACUGAUCCGCAAGUAGCAACAACCACUUGAAAACUUUCAUAUUCUUGUCUUGUAUACUAGAAAGUGAUGCCCGUGCGAUGCACGUGGUCUAAGCCCAACAAUUUGAUUCUUAAUGUGUUCAAAUAUGCAAUAUUUAUUAUUAAAAAAAAAUGGACCAAAAGAUAUAUCUUAUCUUAAAUUUUUUGUCAUUACAAAUUGUAUUAGCAUCAAGUUAAUAAUGUAUUAGUACCAUAAAAAAGAUAUAGUUAGUGCAUAGUUAGGUUUGUAUGACAACCAAAAUAACUACACCUGAAUGUUUCAACAAUUGAUAUGCAUUGAUUUCAUAAAAUAAUCACUACAUGGGAAGGAAUCAUCAACAAUUGUAAUUUUGAGAAUUAACCAAAAAAAAAUAAUCUCUGUCAUCAAACGAAAAUUGUAAUUCACACAAUUUUUAGUUGAAAAUUACACUACUAACAAUGCUAAAAAUAUUAAUGAUAGAUCCUAAAAGGUUUCUCUUGAUCUUGCAACGGUUGACAGUAAUCUAACUUUCAUUUUUUCAAGCAGAUUUUUUUUCACAUGGAUGUUGGUGCUUCUUCAGCGGUACAUUUGUACCUUUCAGAAAAAGUAAAAUAAAAUAGGAUUCAGGAGGAAAGUUCCGUUUAAACCCAUAAAAAGGAAGUGACUUUUAUGCAACAGUUAAAUACCACUCUAGCCUUUUCAAUUUUCUUUCUCCAUUUGUAUUUCAAAUUGCUUUCUCCAUUUGUAUUUGGUCCCUGACAUAAGUGUGUUAUUGUUAGAAAGUCAUCCACCUAGAGAGGAAGGCAUAACAAAGAAUUAGGGAUCAUGACAAAUUUCAACCGAACAAAUUAACACAUUUUUAAAUGGGGAACUUACAUAAAUAUACUAUAUUAAGAAAAUAUUUACCAUCUAUAGCAAUAAUAUUUUCUUUUCACUUGAUCACUUUGAAUACAUUUAUAAUACAAAUUUAAUACAUAUUACAGAGAACACUUGUAACGACUCGAACUGUCGUUAAUUAGGAAAUGAAAAAUAUUGAGGAAAUUUUGGUCUCCCAGCCUGCCAGAGUGGGCCUGAUGCCGCUAGGGCGGUGGCGCUCUAGCAAGAUAAGUUGCCGCCAUAGCAGGAUGGGCGAGACAGAUUGUAAAUAACGCAAAGUCUGAUUUUCUCAUUUUUCCAAAAACACCAAAAAGAGGCAGGAUUACCCCAGAAACCCUUUUAAGGCUGCUCUAGGCUUGGGAAGGAAGGAGAAAGAGAUUUCUAGCAUAAGGAGGUUGAUAUAUUGCGGACUUCCGGUCAAGAUUCACCGUCCCGUCGCUCAAAAAUCAGAAUUGAAGCUAUAAUCCCGUGCAACUGCUUAGCACCCAGGUAGGCUGAAUUUUAUUAAUUGAGUAGUAUAAAUUUGUAAUUCACUGCAUAGUAUAUUGGUAAUGGACGGUAGAAUUCAUGUGUAGGCUUUUGUGCACUGAAAGGAGAUGAUUAAACAUAUAUUCGUAGGGUUGUAUCAGACAUAUACCGUAGGAGAAAGUACUACUCCAUGAACUAGGGUAGGUGAAUGCUUGAUGUCAUGUUUGUGUGAUGUAUGUUAGUGUUUGAUUCAUUGUGAUGCAUAUAUGUAUGCGAAUGUUGCACUGUUGAUCACAUUAAAUGCGAAUUAGUAUGAAUGGGUGAUUGUAUGCCUUGAACCAACACUUGAUUGUAUGAUUUUGAGAAUGGCGUCACUAUCUAUAUAAAAUAAUUAAUUAGCAAAAUUCCGGGAAAAAAAGCGACGGACAGCGUCUCUUAGUCUGUCGCUUUUAAAGAAAAAAUUUAUUUUUUUUUAAUUAAAAAGCGACAGACUAAGAGACGCUGUCUGUCGCUUUUUAAAAAUGUUUGACUAGAUAUUUUGACCAAAAAGCGACGGACUGAGAGAUGCCGUCCGUCGCUUUUUUGAAAAACUAAUUAGUAAAAUAAAAUAAAUUAAAACGACGGACAGCGUGGUUAUUGUUUAAUUUAUAAAUAAUUGUAUAAAUUAUAGGAACCACAUAUUAUAAGUACUAAAUAACAUCCUAUCCCUUCUAGUUUUCUAUUUACCAAAAAUCCCUUAAAAAUGAUAUUUGCGGGAUACAUAGCGGCGUGCACGGGAUACAUUAGGUUUGAUACAUUCCACAUAGAGGGAUACAUAGCAUUGUGCACGGGAUACAUGCGAAAUACAUAGCGUUGUGCACGGGAUACAUGCGAAAUACAUAGUGUUGUGUACGUGAUACAUAACGUUUGAUACAUUCCACAUAGCGGGAUAUAUAGCGUUGUGCACGGGAUACAUAGGUAAAUAAAGGAUUUUUGAAAAUUUUGAAAUAAGUAGGGAUAAAUGGAUAUUAAGGUAAGUAAAGGAGUGUAGUUAAGUAAUUUGUCCUUAUUUUUUAAAAAAAAGAGACGGACUAAGAGAUGUAGUCCGUCGCUUUUUGUAAAAUAAUUUUAAAAAUAAUUAUUUUAAUUAAAAAGCGACGGACGGCAUCUCUUAGUCCGUCGCUUUUUUGGAGCGACGCUGUCCGUCGCUUUUUCUUCCGUCGUUUUUUAGCAUUUUUUUAGUAAAUAAUCCAUUUUUUUUUGGGAUGAAGAAUAUCUUCAUAUCAUCUAGCUUGAAGGAGGGAGUUAAAGAAUAAAAAGUUAAUUCAACACAGAAAUAAUGAGCGUGGUUGGUAAUAUAAAUUUAUUAUUUGAAAAUAUAAUACAAAACUAGGAAAGAACAUAGGGUAGCACGUGUUAAAGAUGUAACCAAGAUAGUACUUAUUUAUUUACUUUUAAUGUUCACCUACUCUGGUGAAACCAAAAUGAUCAAAUUCCAUUUCUACUUGCUACAUUUAGGAGUUUUUAUAUUUUUUAAAUAUAAAAAGGUUUAAUUGUUCAAACUUUAAUUAAUUUUAAGAUUCUAAUUACUAUUAGAGAAAUAACAAAAAAGAUAAUUUUAUCUAAUUUGAAAUCCUUUUAUACACGGUAAUUACAUUGUGUAGGUAAGGUAUUAAUGUUUUUUUUUGUAUAUAUGAAGAGAGAUUCUGAAUCUCUUGAACACAAUACUAGAGGUUGACUUAGUGGUUUAGGAGCUCAAAAAUUUACCUUCCAAAUUCAAACCCGAAACUUUUUUGAAUUUCUCUAAUGAAAAUUCUGAAUCUGGCACCGGUGCGCAAGUAACAACAACCACUUGACAACUUUCAUAUUCUUGUCUAGUAUAUUUUGCUAUAUAAGCCACACCUACUUUGUGCAUCAGCCACACAUUCAAAAUCAUGAGUAGAUAUUGAUAUGCCAAACCUACUUUGUGCAUCAGCCACACAUUCAAAGUCAUUAGAUAUUGAUAAGCCAAACCUAGCUACUUUGUGUAUCACUUAACCAAACGAAAAUGACUUCACUACUGAUUGAGCAAUGCCAAGUUGCGCCACCUCCCCACGGUGGCGCAACUGAGCUAACGCUCCCUCUAACUUAUUUUGAUCAUAUAUGGUUCGGUUGUGGCUAUAUACGCCGGAUUUUAUUCUACAAGCUACCAAUUUCCAAACUCGAUUUUGUUCAAACCAUUAUUCCUACUCUUAAACAUUCACUCUCCCUCACUCUCAAACACUACGCACCCUUAGCUGGCAACAUUGCUUGUCCACUAAAUUCGAGUGGUUAUCCUGAGUUGCGUUAUGUGACUGGAGAUUCUGUAUCUGUUACUUUUAUUGAGACUGAUAUGGAUUUCAAUCAUCUCAUUGGUAACCAUCCUCGAAAUGCUAAGGAUUUUUAUCCCUUCAUUCCUCAAUUGGCACAACCUAAGGAUGCACCGGGGGUCAAACUAGUCCCGGUCUAGCCAUUCAAGUGACACUUUUUCCGAAUCUUGGCAUAUCCGUUGGUUUUAGUAACCAUCAUGUCGCUUGUGAUGGAAAUACCAUAGUGAAAUUCAUAAGAACAUAGGGUUUACUCAACAAAUUCGGCGGUGAUGAACAAUGCUUAGAGAAUGAGUUCAUUCCAUUUUAUGAUAGGUCCGUGAUAAAAGACCCUUACGAACAAGGGACGAUUAUAUGGGAUGAAAUGAAGCAAAAUAUGCCGGAGAUAGGUGACAUAAUUGUGACUCCUCCUCUUGAUAGAGUUCGAGGUACAUUUAUUAUAGAACGAGAUAACAUUGUUAAGCUCAAGAAUUUAAUAUUGUCAAGACGACCUAACCUAAGUUAUGUGACAUCUUUUACAAUAACUUGUGCUUAUAUAUGGACUUGCUUGAUAAAGUCAAAGUUCGCGAUUGAGGAAGAGACGAUAGAUGAGGAUGUUAUGGAGAUUUUUGGAUGUGUAGCGGAUUAUAGAUCGCGUCUCAAUCCACCACUUCCUCAAUCUUAUUUCGGUAAUUGCCUAGUCACGAUUGCUUCAGAAGCAAGUCGUGUCGACUUAGUUGGAAAGGAAGGGUUUAUAAUAGCUGUGGAAAUCAUUGGAGAGGCCAUCAAGAAUCAAAUGAAGGAUGAGGAAUUGAUCUUGAAUUGUAGUUGGUAUAGAGAAUUUUGUGUUGUUGACAUGAAACGAACACUUACAAUUGCUGGAUCACCAAAGUUUAAUUUGUAUGAUGUUGAUUUUGGUUGGGGUAGGCCAGAAAAAAUAGAGAUCAUUUCUAUUGAUAAUAGUAGUGGUAUAUCUAUGUCCAUUAGCAAGUACAAAGAUUCAGAUGGAGAUUUAGAGGUUGGCUUGUCUUUGCCUAAAAUUAGAAUGAGUGCUUUUGCUGCUACAUUCGACCAUGGGCUAAGCUUUUUGUAAGAAUGUACCAAGGUUUAUCGGAAAAUUUAUUACUAUAGAAUCGUGGAUUGUAAUUCAAGAAUGCCAAAAUAUAUGGGCAUUAAUUGAUGUAUUAUUGAAUUGGUUUCUUUUGAGUGGGGACGUUUUUUUAUUGAACCCGUAUAUCUUUGAUAGUUGAGGUGAUUAUAUGUCAUGCCGAUCUUCGAUUAAUUGAGAUGCAUCAUUAUCCUUUUUUAUUGAUAUUAUAUUGUCCACAUGCAUUGACAUGAGAUUGAAUAUGAGUAAAGGUCUGGAAAGUAUUUAGUUAGAAAAAUUAUAUUGUCAUUGAAGGUAAAUAUUUUUUUAAUAUAGCAUAUUUAUGUGAUAUACCCAAAAGGAAAUCAAACUAAUUUAAUCCAACAAGAUCCAAUUCAACUAUAAAGAUGAAAAGCAUUUUUCACCUCAACUUGAUUAAAGUCGCCCAAAAAACACCAUACAUCAAUUGAUUUUGCAGAUUACCAGACUCUUCUGCCACUAAUUUUUUUCACUACAACUUGUGCAACUUUAUUGCUGAUACAACAAAUAUAUUAAUGCAUACACAUUUCUAUAUAAUAGAAAAAAAAUAAAAUAGAUGUUUAAGUUCAUAUAUACUUUGGAUCUAAACUAUACAUUUUAUUUAUAUUAAGCAAUAUAUGUGAAACUUGAAUUUAAGCUACCGCUUCAUAGAAAGUUAUUGAAGCUGAGAGCCUAAUUCCAUCUUGGUAACUCUUUACGUGGUUCAGCUCUCAGCAAGACAACUUUCGAUUGUCCACAUUAAAGAAUGACAGAGGCCUCCUUUUGAGAGCUGGAAAAAAAAAAUCGAAGCUUUUCGUCUAAAUAUAUCACAACCUCUUGAACAAACUGGAUAUUAAUAAUGUAAAACACACAUUAAUCAAGAUAAAAUUUUCAACAGGUAAAAUCACAAGUCAUAGCUCCACGAUAUGUAGGUUUCUUUUGGUCUUGCAACUCUUGCAAAAUAUUUAGAUUUAGACGGAGACCACAAUGUGAAUUUUAAUCAUUUUCUGAUCUUUGAACGCAUCAGAAAGUCCAAAGGCAAGCAAUAUGAGAAAAAAGGACAUAAAUUAGCUAUCAGGAUAGUGGCAUUGAAUAUUUAGCUUUCUCAGGUGUUUGCAACUUAUUAAGGGCAUAAUUCUAAUGCGUAUCAAGAUAAAUUUUCUUGGGUCUUUGCAGCUUAUUAAGAGUGCUUCGGUAGUUGAGCAUGAGGUAAGAGUAAGAUCACAAACAUACAACUGAAAGGGCAAUAAUAACCAAUCCAACUGCUAUCCGAUUAAUAACACAAUUUUUGUUACUUUUUCAUUCUUCGAAACUCAAUGUCAUAAUGUGAAAGAUAAAUCAUAUUGUAUCAAAGUAGAUGAAACAAACACGAAAACAUAAGAAAAAAGGUAGUUGGAGAAAACCUUGAACGCGCGUGGUCAAUGCAUUAACGUGAAAAGAGCCAAUAUCUAACUCAUUAACCUACUAAUUGAAUCAAAACUUACUAAUGGUCUUGGUUAUCUAGCUCUCCAUCAAUUCCCUCUUAUAGUACUCUUAUCUCCAGUGUCAAGAUAUGUUUUUUUGAGGUGACGCAUACAUUUUUGAGAAUGAUCGAUGCAUAAUCACAGCUCUCCCUUUGGCUUAAAUUCCAACCUAGAAAUCCUGACUUUGCUGCCAAUGGAGUUCUUAUUGAGCGUCGAAGCUAACUGCAGUUCAAAUACAAAUGCAAUUCCUAAUUAAUAAUGUGCACAAAAGUUAGAAGAAGAUAGCAAUAUCUGAUUAGAAAAGUUAAUCCUUGCUACAACUUCAUUUUAUCAUCAUCAAAUUUUGGCAAUAUGCAGAGGACCAACCACACAUUUCAAAUAGUAAUUAUGUCGCUUAGGUUAGUAUUAGUUUAUAUGCAAGAGUUCAAAAUCUAUUCACAAUUUUCAUCGAUGUUUCCCAACCAACACAGUCAAAGAAUGACAAUGUCAUCCUCUAGAGGUUCCAUUUACUUUUAAUCUAUUGGAUCUUAGUUUUUCUCCCUCUAUCUUCAUGGUUACGUUAAUUUCUCUACCCCUUAGCUUGGUGCAGGUCUAUUUCUAGAUCUGACCAUAUAUAUUGCAAAUCUAACUUAUUUUGCUAUGCUAUUGUUGGUAGCAGAGUUGUCGCUUCAAUCUACUAUAAUUAUGAAAUUACUUCUAAGUUCUAACUACCACACCACUUGUUGUGACACCUCUAUUUGGAUAGAUAUCUAGAUAUGAAGCAAUUGUCAUUUUGUUGCAGGAUGGUAUAGAGUUGAAUACCAGAAUAUUGGAUGCACAGAUGUUGUUAUUAUACCAAAGUUUAAUUUGUAUGAUGUUGAUUUUGGUUGGGGUAGGCCAGAAAAAAUAGAGAUCAUUUCUAUUGAUAAUAGUAGUGGUAUAUCUAUGUCCAUUAGCAAGUACAAAGAUUCAGAUGGAGAUUUAGAGAUUGGCUUGUCUUUGCCUAAAAUUCGAAUGACUGCUUCUGCUGCUAUAUUCGACCAUGGGCUAAGCUUUUUGUAAGAAUGUACCAAGGUCUAUCGGACAAUUUAUUUCUAUAGAAUCGUGGAUUGUAAUUUAAGAAUGCCAAAACAUAUGGGCAUUAAUUGAUGUAUUAUUGAUUUGGUUUCUUUUGUGAGGGGAUGUUUCUUUAUCGAACCCGUAUAUCUCUGAUAGUUGAGGUGAUUAUAUGUCAUAUCGAUAUUAGGUCGCUAUAAUGUAGGUGACUUUUUUGUAGUUACCUCAUGAGGUCGCCGAACAGAGACCUCACGAGGUCACCAAUAAAUUUUCCGAUUUUUUAAAAAAAGAUACCUCAUUAGGUUGCAAUUUCAUAAUUUACUUUUGUUUUAUUUUUAAUAAUGGUGGCCUCAUGAGGUCACUAUUAUAUUAUUUAUUUUUAUUUUAUAUUUAAAAAAAGAGACCUCGUGAGGUCCAUACAAUUUAUUAAAUUUAUUUAAAUUUCUGAAUAGAGACCUUAUGAGGUUGCUUUAUUUAAAACCAAAAAUAAAAAUAAAAAGCGACCUUAGUAAAGAGACCUCACGAGGCCGCUUUAUCUCAUAGCCUAAAAAAUAAAAUUGCCAAAAAGAGACCUCGUGAAGUCUCUUUACUGCAUUUCUAAAAAAUAAACUAAAGAAAAGAGACUUCAUGAGGUCUCUUUACUGCAUUUCUAAAAACUAAAAUGCAGAAAAGAGACCUCAUGAGGUCUCUUUUAUGAAAUUUCUAGAAAAUAAAAUGCAAAAAUUUACUGCAUUUCUAAAAAAUAAAAUGCAGAAAAGAGACCUAAUGAGGUCUCUUUUAUGAAAUCUCUGGAAAAUAAAAUGCAAAAAAGAGACCUCAUGAGGUCUCUUUUCUUAGAAAAAAAACUAGCUGCUUGUAACUGUUUUUGCAGCUGCUCAUCAUCUGUCAUAUUAAUUCAAUACCUUUCUAAUUAGCUAAAUCAAGCUCAAAGAGCUUCCAACAAUCAACUGAUACAAUACAUUUAAUAAAUAUUCUCUUAUCAACUCAAUAUGCAACUCACCUUCAAUGUAAUUUGAAAUUGAACGAAAAAUCAUAGAAUCCAUAAGUUAUAUAAUAGGAUUUCAAUGUUAUCAUGCAUUCACAAAACAAAUAAGUCCCAUAAAAAAGUCAUAAAGUAAAGAACUUAGAUUAUCUAUUACAACUCUAAACUUCACUAAUGUGGGAGUGUGUUUGCCACAUGAUACUCAUCUUCUUCAUCACUACUAGACUCAUAUGUCAUAUUUCUUUGUUGACCAUACACUGGAUAUCGAGUAGGUUGAGAUUGAGAGGGUCGAGGAGGGAAAGUGACAUCAUUGGAACAAGGGGGAAUCCCUCCUGAAGCAAGUAAUGCAUCGAAUUGAGCCUUAAGAUCCGCAUACUCUAAGUCCCUCCGCCUUUUCCUAGCCCGCGAGUCUUCGACUUGGCUAGAUAGCUUAGCUAUCUUUUGCUCCAUAGCCAAAUUUUUCUUCAUCGAUUCAUCAUCAUAGGAACUACUUAGGCCUUCAAACUUAGAAUGAUAUUCACGAAAGGUUUGUUGCGGAAUGCCAUAGGCAUACCCAUAUCUACUCGGCCCAUCAAUCAAGUCUAGCCACACUCUCUCAGUCUGUUCUUGAGUAAGUGGCAUACCUCGAUUUUCUUCUGGUUGAGUUUGUCGUAAAUCCUCUAAAACUUGAAGAUAUCGAUUCUAAAUUGAAUAUUGGUAUUAAUAUUAGAAUAUAAAUUUAGAAAAUAAGUAAUUAUUAUUUUGAAUUAGAGGCUUACAUAGGUCAUUUCAGCUCGCGGCUCAACCCACACGUCUGAUUAGGCAAGUACUGAUGUGGUAAUAACAUAGUUGUAUUCACGUUCUAUCAGACAUUGUAUAAGUCAGUGAUUACAAUGACAAGACUUCAGAUUUUGAACUUACCAUUUGUUGAGUUAUUUGAUUUAAACAAAUAGAAUACAAGGACAAAAAACUAAUACAAGGGCACAUGCUUCUAAUAACUUGUUCUUACCUCUGGCCAUCAACUGAAUUCUUAGAGCAGUUCAAGACGCUGGUUAGAGAUAGAAUUCUUAGAGUAAUUCAAGACACUGGUUAGAGAUAGGUAAUCAGAAUACGCACUUGCAGAUUUCAUCCAGUCAAUACUCUCUAGUAACUUUUCUAGAAAAAAUUCUCUCUAACUCAAAGUAUUAGUUUGAUUCUCACCCAGAUAUGGGAUCAGUUCUGCCGUCUGUGCUAAAUUGACCAUUUUUUUGGUCAUAAAUUGAUCAAAUUACCUCAAACGCAUCCUGAACCAUGUCAUGCAUUCUAUAAUUUUCUACAUUAGAAUUCACUGCGCUACUACUUUCACUAGGAACAUAAUGUUGAAAUACAUCAAAACUAUUAUCAAUUUCUCCAUGACUAGUCCACACUGUGUAUUCUUUUUUAAAUCCAUUUUGAUAGAGAUGAAGCUCAACAAUAUCUGGUUUUUCAUAAUUCAAACAUUGACAUUUAUUACAAGGACACUUAAUCACACCAUUACGUUGAAAAGGUUCUAGUGUCUUUGUAUACUCCACAAAACGAGUGACACCUUCUACAAAUUCAGGUCUUAGCCCCAUUCGACCAAAAUUAGUCAUAUUAUACAUCCAACUAUGAUUCAUCUACAUAAAUAUCACAAAAUUUUGAAUUUCUUAAACACUAACUCAUGUAAUAAUUUACUGAAAAUCAAAUUGUAACAAUCCUAGUAGGGACUGCUUAACGAGGCAUUGUGCAAAUGAAUAAAUGUAUCUUUGGUGACUACAAAAGCAUACUUCUCUCAACAAUUUGUCCCAAAUAAUGUCCACUUCCCUAAAUAAAUGUAAAUAGAAUACAUCAUUAAAAAAAAAUAGUAGUACGGUGGCACUAUUACAGAAGGGUCAAGGACCUUUCUGGGCACAAUGGUUUCUUAACUUUCCUCUCCUCAUUAAGUCUAUAGUAUAUAUAUAACUUUCCUCUUCUCAUUACUACAACCAAUAAAAUAAUAGAUAGAUCCAUAUGUCAUCUUAGUUUCUCAUGAACAAAGAACAAGUCAUGUUAAUUGUCAAUUAUCAGCAAAAACAUCUAAUCUAUACAUUUUUCAAUUUAAAAACAACAAAAAUACAUACAACGACAUAAACCAAAAUGAUAUUAGUUUUAGGUUUGCAUCAGAACUCACAACAUGAUUAUUUUAGAUUGAGAUAACGUAUAAUAAUAUCAAAAUACAAUACAAAUCUUCAUAACAAAUUUUAUUUCUUUAUUCUUAAAUAUUACUACCCAUGUAUCUUCAGGCCUUAAUCCGGCUCGACCAAAAUUAUACCUAUUAUACAUCAAACUACGAUGCAUCUACACACAAAAUUUGAAUUUUUUAAAUACGAAAUUAAGUCAUCUUCCCAGUUAGUAGUAUUAAAGGGAUUCUUGCAUUUGAGGCAGCAGCUUCAGCUAGCAUAAUGAUGAUGAUGCAGCCAAUAGGCACUAUUAAGGGUCAAUGGUUUCUUAACUUUUCUCUCCUCAUUAUUCCACGAUGGUUUAUAUCUAUAGACUAUAGUAUGCAUAUAUAUAUAACUUUCGUCUCCUCAGUUAAAAAACAACUAUACUUGAACUUUCAGGUGUUCUUCAAAGGUAAGUUACUAUACUUGUUGGGCCAAGAGAAGCCCAUUAUUUAUUCGUUUGUAUUAUAUUUGCUAUGACACUAUGUAAAGUGUUUUUACUACGCAUUCUGGUUAGCUGGUAGGUUUUGAUUAGGCCUUUUUAAAGGUGGAACUCUGCCGAAAUUUUUGAGAGAUAUUAAAGUUAAGUUCAUGAUACUCAAAUUUCAUUCGAGGACAAAAGUUAUGUUUUCAUAACAGGUUUUAUUUAUUUAUUCUUAGAUAUUACUACUCAUGUAUCUUCUUCUAAAUUAUAGUAUGAUACAAAACUUACUAGCAUUCAUGUUAAUCAACAUGAGAAGUCAAAACAGGACAUUAAGAUAGAACAAGACUAAAAUCCAAAGAUAUUUAUAUGUUCAUGAAGUGAAAAGAAAAUCACAAAUUCUACUUAAUGCUUGCAGUAAAUUGAAAGAGAGAGUUUGCAUUGAUGGAUGCUUGCAAUAAAUAAACAAUAUAGUUACAAUUUGGUUUAAAGAUUGAAAGAUUCACCUUUAUUUGCAGAGAAAGAAAUUGACACCGAGAAUUUGAAUCGACGACGGAAGCUUUGGCUUCAAACUGAGUGAGUUUCGAAGGUGAAAACUAAAACUUCAAAUUGAUGAAAGGCUCGACGAGGAGGCUACACAUCUGUAAAGCUAUGGGGAAGAGACAAGUUAGGGCUUUUUUUAGCUUUUAGGUGAAGAGCGGGAAAGGAGAUGAACUAAAUUAAAAAUGCCUCUUAUUUUAAUUUAAUAAAACUAAGUGAGGUCUCUUAUUUUAAAAUAUUAUUUAACAAAUUUGACUAAUAAAUUGAGACCUCACGAGGUAUCUAAAACUAAAUUAAUAUUUUUUUAUUUUAACAAAUAGCGACCUCGUGAGGUUGCAUAUUUUAUACAAAAACAUACUAUAAAAUAAAAAAAAUUAAAAUAAGUCACUUAUAUAAUUAAUUAGGCAGAUUUUUUUAUAAAAUUGACCUCACGAGGUCUCCCCUAUUAAAAAUAAAUUUAAAAAAAGUUAUUGAUGCAAAUAGCGACCUCAUGAGGUCUCUUUUUAGCGACCUAUUUUUGAGGUCUCUUAUUUUAGGUCUCCUUUUGCAAUAUUUUUAGUAGUGAGUGUUGAGUUUUAUUUGCCCUGAAUUUCUUACCAUAAAUAUGUUUUUCUUUUAGAAAAAAGGUUUAAUUUGGAUUGGCUAGUCCUUUUCUUGUAGGAAAUUCAGGCCAAAUGGGAGAUUUGUUGGGUAUUAAUUGCCCUGAAUUUCUUACUAUAAAUAGGUUUUCCUUUUAGAAUAAAGUUUGGGAUUGGCUAGUCCUUUUCUUGUAGGAAAAUGUUUAGGACUCUAUAAAUAUAGACUUGUUCCUUCUAACUUAAUCAACAUUCAUAAUGUAGUCCUAGGGGCUUUGAGAGUUUUCGUUAGGGGGAGAAUUUGUGGGACACAAGUUUGAUACGUUAUCAUUUGUGUGAACCUCUCAUGUAUUCCGAGUGAAUUGGUUGAGGUUAACUCUCUCUAUAUUUUGUACUCUCAUAUUUAUAUAGUGGAUUGCUCAUCUCCUUUGUGGACGUAGGUCGAUUGAUCGAACCACGUUAAAUCUUUGUGUCUUUUGGUAUAUUUCUCAUUUGUCUUCUUACUCAUGAUAUUUCGAGAUUUGUUUUGCUAGCUUCCGCAUCACACCUAAUUAUUUCGGUCCUAACACAGAGAUCGUCCGUGUUGAGAUUGAGUUAUGAUUGUAAGUUGGGCACGUAAAGAUCGUCCAUGUGUGGGAUUGUUUGAUUUUAUGAUAGUGCGUUGAGAUCGUCCCACAGACACCUGGAGAUCGAACCUGUUGAUAUAUCUCUCGAGUCCACAUGGGUCACGUACUCUCAAUGUAUUUUCGAGAAGUAUCGUGUAUAUACGGUUGAGAGAGUACCUUUUUUUUUAAAAAAAGUACUCUCUCAACCGUAUAUCAUUUCAUGAUGUUGCAUUAUAUUGCAUCACAUACAUCUUUCAUUCUUGUUUGAUUAUAUGCUUUAUUGUUAUUUGGACAUUACAUGAGAUUUGUUAAUCCCUAUUUGAUGAACUUAUCUGAUAAGUAUAAGGUAGAUUGUAGACUUAUAAAAUUAAAAGAUGAUUUUCUCAUAUACUCCUAUCACUACUUUUUCAUUGUCGGUCUAGGAUAGUGUCACGCACCGAGUCUACACUCUGGAUGAAACUGGCACUUGAGAACCAUUGCUGACCCCAAGCGAACCCUUGGCCUGGCUAGACUCUCAGCGGAAGACUUACUCAACAGAAGAUGCACUUAAAUACAAUCUUAAAUAAACUGUUUGAAUAGAUAAAUUGAGAAUGUUUAGAAAAUAGCAUUCAACUUAGCCAAAAUGGCAACUCAAGUCUUUAAAAUCAAACAACUGAAAUAGCAAGACUAAAGAACUCAUAUCUAACCGUAUAUGAAGCCUCUAGAUACUAAGAGGGAUGUCGGGACAAGACCCCCAAUCAUCUUAACAACUGAAAUAACCAAAAGCAAUAAAGUAAAAUAUAACCAAAGGGAUCCUCUAUAAAGCAAACAGGCUCACCAACUGACUCUGAGCGCUCGAAUGGAUCACCGAGGCACUGGAUGCUAAUCCUAGUUACCUGUAUCUGCAUCAUAAAACGAUGCAAACAAAAAGGCAUCAGUACAUUGAAUGUACGAGCAUGCGAGGGGAAAACUAAAUAUGACAUAAGCUUGAAAGGAAUCUGAAAAGAACACUUACCUUAGCUUUACUCAACUCAUGGAUACUCAACUCAAAUGCAAAGUAAAACAAUAAUAAAGGUGCAGUUUAUACAAAGCAUUUAGAACAGUAGGUGACAACUCAAUGUGUUAAAGAAAUACAAUAACAACUCAGUUUACAUAUAAAGUAAUAUAAUAUUGUGGGAGUUUCUCUAACCGACAAUCAUUAAUAUGAUCUAAAGUGAUGAUUCAACGUCUCGCCCACGAUGUCAGAACUGUCAUAUACCUUGUUGUGAUAUAGAACACCUCAACUAAGUGGACCCACUAGUCUAUGCUAAAAAGCACUAAGGAAUCAUCUAAAAAGUAUGAUCUUUUCUUACCCACGAUGGCUACAUGGUUUAUGGAGACUUGAGUUAUUAUGAACUCGUCCCCAUAUCGGUUCUCAAUACUACUCCCAAAAUAUACUCAGCUCAUAUGUUUUAAAAAUAAAAACUCUUUCUGUGAUUUGAGAUAAUUACUCAAAAAUUAGCAUAAAGUCUCUCUUGGAAAUCAGUGUUUCCUUUCUUAUUUAAAUGUGAAAACAUUUCAACUCUUAGGAAUACUUAGUUCCCGUAUAAUAUUUUGAAGAAAAUGAACUUUACUCUUACUCUUUACUCAACUCAAACUCAAGUCUUAAAAUAAAGUUAAAGUAUUUGUAAAAGACUUUUGGAAAACUCUAUGAACUUCUCUUUGACUUGACUCUUAACUUUCCUUGAAUUGAAUUAUGGAUUCAAGGCUCAUGAUCUCAUGUUUAUGGAUGAUUUCAUGAUGUUUAGACGUACCUUAGAGUGUAGAAAUCAACUAGGAAACAUAUGUACGUUGCUAGGGAACUCAAACGAAAAGAAGUGGGAAAUGAUAGAAGACCUGGUGUCCCUGGUGCUCUGAGUGGCGCGCUAGGAGCAAAGCCUCAGAAACUGGCUUGGGGCGCUCUGGCUGGCAUGGCACCCCAUAGGCCAAACUUCAGUGAACUUUGUGGGGCACUCUGAGUGGCGCGGCGCCCCACCCCUUUUCCCAAAUUUUUGACGAAUUCUCUUAGCCGUUCUUCAACUCUAAACCCUCUAAAUUCAAUUGGGUCUUUUCCCAAAUACUUAGAUUCGACUAUAUCACCAAAAUAUGUAAGAAUAUACUCAAAAUCACACCUAAUAUCAUGAAUCAAACUCAAGAAACUUCUCAACAACUUCAACAAUGUCAAGAAAGCACAAGAACUUAAACAAAUUUCAUCAAGAACUCAUAAUCUUUUCUUUCAAGAACAUAAUUACGCUGAAUUGAAUCAUGAUUGGCGCGUGGGUGAACUAACCCAACGCUAUGAGAUCUCACAUACCUCGUAGGAUUGAAUCCUUGGCGAAAUCCACGACCAAAAUCGCUAGAACUUGACGAACCUUGAGCUUUCUUUCUCCUCUCCCCUCUUGAGUUCUUUCUCCUAAAACCCUAGCGUAGAUUUCCAAUUGGGUAAAAUACCCUUCCAAAAUCUGGUUUUGACUUUCCUUAUUUAGACAACCCAACUUUGAAUGGUCAUACCUCCCUCAUACGAACUCGAAAUCAAGCAAACUCGGCGGCGUUGGAAAUAUAAUUCAAAGAUCUUUCCGAAGGUAUCUUGUAGCACAUCUAACUCAUCCUGAGCUAGGAGUUAUGGUCGUUUGAAGUUGACCCAAAACUCAAACUUAACAUAACUUAACCCAUUUUCCAGAUUUUUCAUUCUUUCCAAAAACGACUCUUUCUAAUUCUAGCUCUUUCUAGUUCUUUCAAAUAACGGGGUGUUAUAGAUACAUACUAGAUACACGUGGUUUCAUACUCAUACUACACUCGUGGUCUUUCGAGGUUUGUUUUGCUAGCUUCCACAUGACACCUAAUUAAUUCCAGUCUUAGCAAAAAGUUCCCAAAUACUUUUUUUUUUUAAUAUUUGAGAAUUUAAAAUGUUUAUCAAAAAAUAAUAAAUUGUAUGGUCAAAUCCAUUAUGGUACUGAUAUUCCAACUAUCUUAUAAGUACUGUUUGUACUGAUAUUCCAAAACUUUAUUUUGUUCGUAAGUACUUCAUUUUACUUUAUUUAUCUAAUUUUAACUUUAGUAUAGAGUUUUGUUUUAAUGAUCUUAAGCAUACCACAUAAAUCUUUUUUAAAAUAAAUAAACCAAUUAUAUAAUUAAGUAAUAUAGGCCUUUUAAUGAAAAUAAAUAAAUAUCAUCAUUUAUAAAACGACAAAAUUAUGUAUAUGCAUAAUUAUUUUUUUCUCCCUUUAUAUAUAGCUGCUUUUAACUGCUCAAGUCCCACGUUAUCUUUAUUUUUCUGCAAAUCCCACAAAUUCAUUCACGUUAACUUUUAUUUACACUAUAUAAUAUAAAUUAAUCAUAAUUGAGAUGGAGUACCUUCUUUUCGUUAAGUCCUCACAAGUUUUAUACCAAAUCAAUUAUUGGUCACACAAAGAUUUUCUUUGAUUCAUUCACAUAUUGUGAAUAACGAGUAGGUACAUUUAUUUAUUUCUUUAUUUCAUAUAUAUAAUUGUUGAGUUGAGAUACUAAAGUUAGCUCCUUAAAUUAUAGAGUUGUAAUUUGAAAUCGCUCGUUGAAGUAAAUGGAGAUUGGUUGUUGAAAUCCUACACACUAAAGUCGUUUGGUUGGGAAUAACAAGUUAUCCCAGGAUUAGUUAUUCUGGGAUUAGCUAUCCUGGAUAACUUGUCCCACCAUGUAUAUGAGAUAACGUAUCCCAUUACUAUGGUAUAAAUAAUGCGAUAUGUUAUCCCAAACAUGGCAAUCAAACAAGAGAGAGAUACCCCUCGUUCUGAAAAUAUAUCCCUCAACUCGGUCAUUUAGAGCUGACAUAUCCCUCGUUCUGAAAGUACUGGCUCAUAUAUACCUCUAUUGUUAAAUAAAUGACUCACAUAUAUCCUUUUCGUCUCUGCGAAAGAACCCUUUUGUUUUAUUGGUGCAACUGCUAUUUAGUGAGAAAACUCCCGGAAGCGAAAAAAAUAAUUUUUAAUUUUUUUAUUAAAAAAACAAUUCAUGUAGGGAUAUAUUUUAUCCUUCUCACAUUUUUUUUUAUACUUUUUUAAUUCAACGACUAAUUUGAAUUUAUUAUUUUGAUGCUCAAAUUUGUUCUUUUCACUUAUUUUCUUAUAAACUUUAUUAUAAAUAUCCUAAAAAAAAUACAGAUAUAAAAACUAAAUUACAAUAGCAAAAAAAGUGGUUUUAAUUUUUUUUUCUCUUUUUUUUUGUUCACUUUUUUUUUUUAAUUUCUCUUAUUUUACACUAAAGAAUGAAAGAAAAAUUGAAAUAAGAAUAAAACUCUAAUAAUAAUAAUAAUAAUAAUAAUAAUAAUAAUAAUAAUAAUAAUAAUAAUAAUAAUAAUAAUAAUAAUAAUAAUAAUAAUAAUAAUAAUAAUAAUAAUAAUAAUAAUAAUAAUAAUAAUAAUAAUAAUAAUAAUAAUAAUAAUAAUAAUAAUAAUAAUAAUAAUAAUCAAAGAAGUCAAAAAAUAAUUUAUGUUGAAAAGAUCAAAUACAUAAAAAAAAUUUAAAAUAUUAAAAAUCAAAAAAUUAAUUUAAAAUUAUUUUUAUCACUUUUAUAACAGUAGGGCUAUAUGUGAGCCACUUUCGUAAUGGUGAGGGGUAUAUGUGUGUCAAUUUUGUAACAGUAGGGGCAUAUAUGAACCACUUUUGUAACGAGUGACAUAUCAACUCUAAAUGACAUAGUUAAUGAGAUAUAUCAAGACAUUUUCCCGUGAAUAAAUAAGAAACUCGAUUACAUUUUGUGAGGUCUUAUUUCGGGAAAUCCUUUGUAUAGGCUCUUUGUGAUUUUGUAUUGCAGCUUUGUAAGUUGAAAUGAGUUGCAUUAUUAUUUGUAACCAAUUACUAGUUACCGACAGCCAUACACCUAUCUAAUUUUGAUUUGAUAAGAAAUUAAAGAAAUUAUAAGACUUUUAAUUCUUAUAGUAUUAAACAUGUACAUUUUUGAAAAAUUAAAAAAAACACAAUUUUAUAAUUUUAUUUUAUUUUGUAAAUAUAGGCAUUUUAAGGAUAAAAAGAAGUAAAUACACAUUAUUUAUUAGACGACAUAUAUAUGCAUUAUUUUUAUAAGGGAAAAGUCUCAAAUAUGUCGUCAAACUCUGAAAAAGGCUCAGCUAUGACAUAUGUUAAAAGUUUGGCUCAUCUAUGCCAUUUUCGUUUGAGAAAAAACUCAUCAUUCAUGACAUUAUUUGUUAACUGAAAUGACAUAGAUGAGACAAACUUUUACUGAAUGACAUAAAUGAGACUUUUCUCAAAGUUCGAUGGCAUUUUGAACUUUAAUUUUCACUUUUAAAAAAUUGAUUCAAGUAAUGAUGUGGCUGAAUCAUAAUUGACCACGUUUGAAAAAUGAUUUUGCAAGAUCGAAAAUAUUUUAAGUUAACAAAUAAUGGUAUGAAUGAGUCUUUUCUCAAACUAAAAUGUCAUAAAUAAGCCAAACUUUUAACAUAUAGCAUAAAUAAUUCUUUUCUAUGACAUAUUUAAUUAUUUUCCUUUUUUAUUAUAAAAACAUAUUUACUCUGAAUCGCAAAGUUGACGGCUAUAUAAGCCAAACAUAUUGAUCUCUUUUGUUAACCAAAGAGAAAUAUGGCUUCGAUUAUUGAGCAAUGCCAAGUUGCACCACCUACAUGUGCCACAGAUAAGCUAACACUCCCUUUAACUUGCUUUGAUACUUUGUGGAUAUUACAUAACCAUCAUAUACCAAGGAUUCUAUUUUAUAAACUCCACAAUAUUGACAAAAAUAGUUUCAUCCAAAACAUUAUUCCUACUCUCAAACAUUCACUCUCACUCACUCUCAAACACUAUCUACCACUAGCUGGCAACCUUGUUUGUCCAUGGAAUUCUACCGGUUAUCCUGAACUACGUUAUGUAAAAGGAGAUUCUGUAUCUGUUACUUUUUCUGAAAGUACUGACAUGGAUUUCGAUUAUCUUGUUAGUAAUGAUCAUACACAUAAUGCUAAGGAUUUUCAUCCCUUUGUUCCUAAAAUCGCGGAACCUAAAGAUGCAUCCGGGGUCCAAUUUGCACCGGUUUUAGCUAUUCAAGUGACACUUUUUCCGAAUCAUGGCAUUUCUAUUUCUUUCUUAAGCCAUCAUGUUGUUGGUGACGAAUCUACCAUAGUAGGGUUCAUAAAGUCAUGGGCAUUGCUCAACAAAAAUAACGAAAAUGAUGAGUUCAUUAUUAUUCCGUUUUAUGAUCGGUCUAUUGUCAAAGACCCUUAUGGACUAGGAGAUUGUAUAUGGGAAGAAACGAAGAAACAUAAGACAAAGAUGAGUUACAUAAUUGUGACUCCUCCUCCUCCUCCUGAUAAUAAUAAUAAUAUAGUUCGAGGUACGUUUACUAUAAGACGAGAUCACAUUGACAAACUCAAGAAUUUAAUAUUAUCAAAACGACCUAGCCUGACUCAUGUAACAUCAUACACUGUAACAGGUGGUUAUGUAUGGAGUUGUUUGGUAAAAUCAGAGGUCGCGACGGAAAUAAUAGAUGAGAAUGUAAUGGAAUACUUUGGAUGUGCGGUAAAUUACAGAGCGCGAUUUGAUCCACCACUUCCUUCAUCUUAUUUUGGGAAUUGUAUCAUUUGGUACAUUGCAAGUACAAAGCAUGUUGAUUUAGUAGGAAAUAAUGAAGGAUUUAUAAUUGCAACGGAAUCGAUUGCAGAAAUUAUUUAUAAAAGGAACAAGGAUGAGGAAUACGUGUUGAAUGGUGAUUGGUUGAAAGAAGUUGGUGCGGCGUCAAAUAAGGGUCGAUAUCUUGCGAUUGCUGGAUCGCCAAAAUAUGACUUAUAUGAAGCUGAUUUUGGUUGGGGAAAGCCAAAAAAAUGGCACUUUAUUUUUUUCGGGAGUGGUUUAUUGAUGUCUCUUAGUAAGUCUAAGGACUCUGAUGGAGAUUUGGAAAUUGGUUUGUAUUUGCCCAAAACUCGAAUGAAUGCUUUUGCUGCUAUAUUUACUGAUGGACUCAGCGUCCUGUAGCCCGUUUUCAUUUCAUGAAUGUCCUGAUGGGCUAAAGUAGAGUUCUGCUGCUUUUCUAGAGAUAUAUGAUGAUCAAAAUCAUUUCUAUUACUUCUUGUUUGACUUUGUAUUUGUGUUUUUCUUUGAAUAAAUUUCAAAUUAUAAGUUGAUUUCGUCUAAGUGAGCUUUGUUACUAUAAAUUGAUGUGUAUUUUUAUAAAAAACCAUACAAGUUUGAGCAUGGCUCUUAUAAUUGACAUGAUACCCCAUAAUAUGUGGUUAUGUAUGGACUUGUUUGAUAAAAUUAUGACUUCGAUUAUUGAGUAAUGUCUCCUAAAAUUAGCAUUUCUUUUGUUUUUCUCUCUCGCGCAUAUUAUUUCUCCAAUUCUCCUUUUAUGUAGUUUAUUUUCCUGAUUGUUUUGAUUGUUCAUAAGAUUCAUUUAUAAUAAAUCAAAUAGAGAUGAAUAUAAGAAUACUUACACAGAUUUAAAUUUAAAUAACUUUGUAUGUAAAAAUAGUUCAAUUAAGAUGCGUGCUUUUAACCUCAUAAAAAAUCAACUGUAUUAUUUUUAGGAUAAACAUAAAUAGUUAUUUAAAAUUUUAGCACUAUUUUCAUGUAACCAAAAACCAAAGAGACUAUUUUUCCGAAUUAUGGCUUAUCUAUUUAUAACUAGAUAUAGGACCCCGUGCCAGCACGGGGCCCAAUAUAUAUAUAUAUAUAUAUAUAUAUAUUUUUUAAUUUAUGUUAUAUUAUGAAAUUUGAUAAGUUAUUGAAAAUUUGAUAUGAUUUUAAAAAUAUUUUAAAUUGUUAGCUAUUGUGAUUUGUAGUACUUCUUUUUAACAUAAUUUUGAAAAUAAUAUUUAUUACUCUAUUUGUUCUAAUUUAUGUGGCAGAUGCAGAAUUUCAAAUAUUAACCCUUUUUUAUAUGUCUCUUUAAUNNNNNNNNNNNNNNNNNNNNNNNNNNNNNNNNNNNNNNNNNNNNNNNNNNNNNNNNNNNNNNNNNNNNNNNNNNNNNNNNNNNNNNNNNNNNNNNNNNNNNNNNNNNNNNNNNNNNNNNNNNNNNNNNNNNNNNNNNNNNNNNNNNNNNNNNNNNNNNNNNNNNNNNNNNNNNNNNNNNNNNNNNNNNNNNNNNNNNNNNNNNNNNNNNNNNNNNNNNNNNNNNNNNNNNNNNNNNNNNNNNNNNNNNNNNNNNNNNNNNNNNNNNNNNNNNNNNNNNNNNNNNNNNNNNNNNNNNNNNNNNNNNNNNNNNNNNNNNNNNNNNNNNNNNNNNNNNNNNNNNNNNNNNNNNNNNNNNNNNNNNNNNNNNNNNNNNNNNNNNNNNNNNNNNNNNNNNNNNNNNNNNNNNNNNNCUUUUUUUUUACAUAAUUUUGAAAAUAAUAUUUAUUACUCUAUUUGUUCUAAUUUAUGUGGCAGAUGCAGAAUUUCAAAUAUUAACCCUUUUUUAUAUGUCUCUUUAAUAUAUUAAGUUGUUAAUUAUUGUAUUUUAUAGUACAUUUUGAACCUAAUUUUUUAAUAAUAUAUGUUAUUUGCCAUGUCCCAAUUUAUGUGGCAUUAAUUGAUAGAUUUGUUGGAGUCGAGAGAUUUAUUUUGUUAAUUAUUGUAAUUUAUUGUUUCUUUUUCGUCAAUUUCAAACAAUAUAUGUUUAUUAUAUAAUCUAUUUUAUGUGGUACCAAUAGAAUUUAGAGAGUCAAUUAAAUUUUGUAUAUAAGUUUUAAAUAAUUAAGCUGUUAAUUAUUGUAAUGUAUAGUAUUACUUAUAUUAUUUUUAAAUAUAUUUAAAUAUUAUAUGUUAGGUUUUUUAUCCUAAUUUAUAUGGCAUUGAUAGAAUUUAAAGUGUCAAAUAAUUGUUAAUUAUUGUAAUAGAUAAUAUGGAGUAUUUAAGUCAUUUAUAGUAUAGUAAUUAAUAUAUAAUAUGUAGUAUUUAAGUGGAAGGUGGUGGGGCCCACUUAUAUAUUUUAGAAAUAUAUUGGAUAUCAGUAGUGAUUUAUAGUAUAGUAAUUAAUAUAUAAUAUGUAGUAUUGAAGUGGAAGGUGGUGGGGCCCACUUAUAUAUUUAUAAAUAUAUUGGACAUUAGUAGUGAUCUUAUUGGAACAUUGGUAGUCAUUCCUAGACUCUUCUAUAAUAUAGUAAUAAAUCAAAUAUAGAUAAAUAUAUUAUUACUAACUCAAAUUUAAAUUUAAAUAACUAUGUAUUUAAAAAUAGUUCAAUUAAGAUGCGUGCUCUUAACCUUAUAAAAAAUCAAUUGUAUUACUUUUAGGAUAAACAUAAAUAGUUAUUUAAACUUUUGGUACUAUUUUCAUGUAACCAAAAAAUAAAGACUCUUUUUCCGAAUUAUGGCAUAUCUAUUUGUUACACUAUUUUCAUGUAACAAAUACACACAUUCGUCCUAUGUGGCGUUCUACAUGACAAUUUCGUUCUAUAGCAUUCAACGUGUAUUAUGCCACAUAAAAUGUGUGUCUACUUAUUCAAUUUCAUACAAAUUUAAGUGAUUACUUGUGUGCACCCAAAAUUAUAGGGCGUAGAUAUCACCUAAAGCCAAAUUAAAGGAUAUAUUUACGUAUUAUGCUUUUUUAUAAAAUAUAAAAUUUGAAGUAAUUUUAAACUUUUUAAAAUUUCCAAAUAAUAUUUUUUUCUGGUAUGUGAGAAUUUGAAUUAUUUGCCAAAAGUAAUUGUCAAAUAAGGACAAAUUGUAUGGUCGAAUAUCACAAGUUCCGCAUGUAUCUUUGUUUUUCUGCAGGUAGUGCUUUGUUAAUGAUAUAUUCCCAGUAUCUUAUAAAUGCUGAUUUUCUUACUAGAGCAGCUUUACAUUAAUUCUUUAUUAUUAUUAGGGACAAGGCUUUUAAUUAUUACCUCUAGACUAUGACUGAAAUUUCAGAUACAUAUUUUAACUAAACUAAAAUUCUAUAAUUUUGUACAUCUUUUGACUUACGCGACACAUUUCGUGACUCUACAUAGUUAAGGUUCGUGACAGAUGUUUGGAUGUCUCGUAAUGAAGAAAUAUAAUAAGAUGGAGAUGAGUGACAUAAUUGUGAGUCCUCCUCCCGAUGACAUAAUUCGAGGUACAUUUAUUAUAGGACGAGAUGAUAUCGAGAAACUCAAGAAUUUAAUAUCGUCAAGACAAAUUGAGCUUGACUCAUGUAACAUCAUAACAUGUCGUUAUAUGUGGACUUGCUUGAUAAAAUGAUCAAAGGACGCAGUAGGGGUUACUGAUAUAAGUAUAGAUGAUAAUGUAAUGGAAUACUUCUCAUGUACAUUUAUAUUGCUUCUUGUGUGAAUUUGUAUUUGUGCUUUAAUUUUCUUUGAAAGAUCAGAGUUAAGUUUUUUAAAUGGUCACUCAACUAAGGGUAUAUAAUUAAUUUAAGAAAUCAUUUUGAUUUCUUUGUUUUAAUAAUCCAGAAGUCACUCGAUUAUUGGUAUUUCAAUCACAAAUCACUCAACCACUUUAGGUGAUUAUUCCAUUUAAAAAAGGGAAAAAGGACAAAUAUAUCCUCGAAUUAUCAUAAAUGGUACGUCAAUAUCCUUCGUUAUACUUUAAGGUUGUAUAUACCCUUACCGUCAAUAUUUUGGGUUGUGUAUACCCUUGAGACUAACGGCUGGACACGUGGCUACAUCUCAAUUAUUUACAUAAUUUUUUAUUAUGUUUUUAUCUAAAAUUAAUAACCCACCCAUCUUCCCUAACCCAUCCGUAAACCGAAAUAAAACACCCAUGACCCAUUUUCCAUAAUUCCCUUCAAACAAUGCUCCAUCUUCUUCUCUUCUUUAGCUCACAAAAAUUUGUUGCACGAUUCAAAAUUUCACUAACAUUAGCCAUGUUCUUUUUGUGUUUUAGAGCUCAUGGAUGAUUGCGCACAAAACCAUCAAGAUAAUUUUGUGAUUGACCACGUUACUUUUUCUAGAGAUUUAGAGAUUGGUUUGUCUUUGUCUAAAACUCGAAUGAAUGCUUUUGCUGCUAUAUUCACUCACGGGCUUAACUUUCUAUGCCAAGUCUGAGUGUUCAAGGAUUUGGCAAGGACCCUACCAACAAAAAUAGACAUAAAGACUAUCCUCUAGUUGUGUCAUAGAUGAAAUACUUCAAAUUGUAGUUGUAAUACUACUCCAAAUAAGAAUCCCUUUUCAAAUCGUUAUUGGUGCAUCUUGAUCAUCAUGUCAUCCAUGACUUUAUUAUUCAAUUGGUUUAUGUUAGUUCUUUAUGAUAUAUUAUCGAGGAUAUGACUUGGAUAAGAAGAUAUGGAGUUCAUAUAAGGGUAGAAGGUUAAUACAGUAUGGGUGAA